This 84-nucleotide transfer RNA is filed under the name Porticoccaceae bacterium. RNAcentral's name for it is "tRNA-Tyr". It matches the Rfam family "tRNA". From Rfam's summary of the family: Transfer RNA (tRNA) molecules are approximately 80 nucleotides in length. Their secondary structure includes four short double-helical elements and three loops (D, anti-codon, and T loops). The record is from RNAcentral. Lineage: Bacteria; Pseudomonadati; Pseudomonadota; Gammaproteobacteria; Cellvibrionales; Porticoccaceae.
GGAGGGAUUCCCGAGCGGCCAAAGGGAUCAGACUGUAAAUCUGACGCGCAAGCUUCGGUGGUUCGAAUCCACCCCCCUCCACCA